CUCGUGAUCCGCCCACCUCAGGCUUUCAAAGUGUUGAGAUUACAGGCCUGAGCCACUGCACCCAGCCUCCCUAACACUCUUCUAGCUCUGGUGCCCUGCAGGGUCUCCCUUGGAGCACCUGGAGCCCAAGAAGCUGUCCCUCACCUUUGCAAUCCCAGGGACUCGCCCCCUGAUCAUGAUGAAGGUGGACCCAAACCCGCUGAGGGGCCUGAAGGAGCAAAGGUGCAUCGGAGGCCGAACCCCUCUCCUGAUCUCCUGCAGGAACUGAGUCCCGGAGGAGGUGCAGGUGGAGCCAUUGAGGCAGCACUGCAGCUGGACCUGGGUCUGAGUCCCAGCUCCUGGCUGUGAUAUGCAUCACUCUCUCCAUUUAUUUAUCUGAAAGACAGGGCUGUGCUGUUCUGGGGUCACUGUGAGAAUGCAACUGGCCUGUGUGAGUUGGUGGUGGCCUCCUGUGAUAGUUUGAGGUGGGCUGGAGGUGUGUCUUGAAUGCCCCCUCACCCCCAUGGGGAAGACCCACUUAGGGAAGACUCAAGUGUCUGUAUGGAGGAACCCACAUUCCCUGCCCCUCAGCUGUCCUCUGUCCCUUCCUAGCCCCCUCUGCUGUCCUGCAGGCUCUGGCGGUGGCCAUCCAGCUUGGUGGCCAUCUGGCUGAUCCACUCCUCCAGGUGGACCCUCUGUCCUCAUGUGGUGCAGGUCCCAUUGUGCCACCUCCAGACAGGCCAUGCUAGCCCCAGGGCCUCCGUUCCCUGUUACCCAGCCCCCACCCCCAGGUACGUGCCACCUCCCUAAAGCCCACUGUGUCCACCAGCUGUGUUUCAACUCUGUCUCUGAGCAAGGCCUAACGCAAAGCCUGAAACAGCCUGGCUUGUAGAGGGCCAGGAGACCAAAGCUUGAAGAGAGAGUGACGGUCUCCCAGAGCCCACUUAGCCUCAGCCCCAGGGCUGUGUCCAUGCUGUUCCUGGCUCCAGUGAGCCAAUUCUCUCCCCUGACGCCCGUAAGGGCUCCAGUGGUGAUGGAGGUAGCUGGAGAGAACAAGGCUGUCUUAACCCUCCCUCCCUGAGAAGGCCCAACGGGGAACGUUUUAGGCAUCAGGGCAUUCUGGGGGGCAUCUUCCAGGGACCCCUCCUAUACCCUGCCCUGCCCUGGCUCUCUAGUGAGAAAUUGCAGUUGCUUGGACAGUGGGGCUGACCCAGGACAAAUGCAUAUAUUGGGCUGGUCUUCAGGGUGCUGGGGUAGGGGCAGGGGCACUUCAGGGAUAGGAAGGAGGGGCCUGUGUG
This is a long non-coding RNA of Homo sapiens (human), 1277 nucleotides long. RefSeq lists it as uncharacterized. Lineage: Eukaryota; Metazoa; Chordata; Mammalia; Primates; Hominidae. The record is from RefSeq and is a predicted model, not a curated record. The transcript is spliced from 3 exons.